GAGCUCCGGCGGUUUUGUUUUUUCCCGGUGGUCGUGAUGUUGUCGCUGCAAACCGAUCUCCGGCAGUACAAUCAGCAGCAGCAGCUGUUGAUCUCUAGGGUUCCGCCGGAUGGCGUUGCCGUCGGUGAUCAGAAGAUCGAUUCUUCUUUUCCGUUCCAGUCGGAGUCUGCAUUGUCUUCAGGGAAUAUCAAUUCUGAGUUGUCUCGUGAAGUCGAUGAGGAUGCUCUUUUAACUCUUGCUCAUCAGAACUAC
RNAcentral lists this unclassified non-coding RNA (252 nucleotides) under Hevea brasiliensis (rubber tree). The record is from RNAcentral. Lineage: Eukaryota; Viridiplantae; Streptophyta; Magnoliopsida; Malpighiales; Euphorbiaceae.